RNAcentral lists this ribosomal RNA (1522 nucleotides) under Enterobacter cloacae. Its description in RNAcentral is "bacterial SSU rRNA". It matches the Rfam family "Bacterial small subunit ribosomal RNA". The record is from RNAcentral. Lineage: Bacteria; Pseudomonadati; Pseudomonadota; Gammaproteobacteria; Enterobacterales; Enterobacteriaceae. RNAcentral also lists the same sequence under 7 other names.
AGAGUUUGAUCAUGGCUCAGAUUGAACGCUGGCGGCAGGCCUAACACAUGCAAGUCGAACGGUAACAGGAAGCAGCUUGCUGCUUUGCUGACGAGUGGCGGACGGGUGAGUAAUGUCUGGGAAACUGCCUGAUGGAGGGGGAUAACUACUGGAAACGGUAGCUAAUACCGCAUAACGUCGCAAGACCAAAGAGGGGGACCUUCGGGCCUCUUGCCAUCGGAUGUGCCCAGAUGGGAUUAGCUAGUAGGUGGGGUAACGGCUCACCUAGGCGACGAUCCCUAGCUGGUCUGAGAGGAUGACCAGCCACACUGGAACUGAGACACGGUCCAGACUCCUACGGGAGGCAGCAGUGGGGAAUAUUGCACAAUGGGCGCAAGCCUGAUGCAGCCAUGCCGCGUGUAUGAAGAAGGCCUUCGGGUUGUAAAGUACUUUCAGCGGGGAGGAAGGCGAUAAGGUUAAUAACCUUGUCGAUUGACGUUACCCGCAGAAGAAGCACCGGCUAACUCCGUGCCAGCAGCCGCGGUAAUACGGAGGGUGCAAGCGUUAAUCGGAAUUACUGGGCGUAAAGCGCACGCAGGCGGUCUGUCAAGUCGGAUGUGAAAUCCCCGGGCUCAACCUGGGAACUGCAUUCGAAACUGGCAGGCUAGAGUCUUGUAGAGGGGGGUAGAAUUCCAGGUGUAGCGGUGAAAUGCGUAGAGAUCUGGAGGAAUACCGGUGGCGAAGGCGGCCCCCUGGACAAAGACUGACGCUCAGGUGCGAAAGCGUGGGGAGCAAACAGGAUUAGAUACCCUGGUAGUCCACGCCGUAAACGAUGUCGACUUGGAGGUUGUGCCCUUGAGGCGUGGCUUCCGGAGCUAACGCGUUAAGUCGACCGCCUGGGGAGUACGGCCGCAAGGUUAAAACUCAAAUGAAUUGACGGGGGCCCGCACAAGCGGUGGAGCAUGUGGUUUAAUUCGAUGCAACGCGAAGAACCUUACCUACUCUUGACAUCCAGAGAACUUUCCAGAGAUGGAUUGGUGCCUUCGGGAACUCUGAGACAGGUGCUGCAUGGCUGUCGUCAGCUCGUGUUGUGAAAUGUUGGGUUAAGUCCCGCAACGAGCGCAACCCUUAUCCUUUGUUGCCAGCGGUCCGGCCGGGAACUCAAAGGAGACUGCCAGUGAUAAACUGGAGGAAGGUGGGGAUGACGUCAAGUCAUCAUGGCCCUUACGAGUAGGGCUACACACGUGCUACAAUGGCGCAUACAAAGAGAAGCGACCUCGCGAGAGCAAGCGGACCUCAUAAAGUGCGUCGUAGUCCGGAUUGGAGUCUGCAACUCGACUCCAUGAAGUCGGAAUCGCUAGUAAUCGUGGAUCAGAAUGCCACGGUGAAUACGUUCCCGGGCCUUGUACACACCGCCCGUCACACCAUGGGAGUGGGUUGCAAAAGAAGUAGGUAGCUUAACCUUCGGGAGGGCGCUUACCACUUUGUGAUUCAUGACUGGGGUGAAGUCGUAACAAGGUAACCGUAGGGGAACCUGCGGUUG